CUUUUUUCUUAGGUUUAUUAAAUUUCUCAAUUGUUGUUUCUAAAAAUUUCUAGAACCCACCUCACUUAAUUUCUCUCUUUGUCUCUCCUCCUCCUCCUCCUACUUUCUUUAUAAAGUCCCGUACACGAAACCAUAAGAAAAAAUAUUUCCGAGGGGAUUCUGAGAGAAGUUAUGGUCUCGGGCUUGUGGGUUUUUACUCAAUCCAUAGAAUUCAUCUUGGCAGCUCACAUCCAUGGAAGCAGAUAGACAGAAGCUCUGUGAUAAUCUUGUUGGUUCUAAAUUCUUUCUUUC
This 291-nucleotide unclassified non-coding RNA is filed under the name Hevea brasiliensis (rubber tree). Lineage: Eukaryota; Viridiplantae; Streptophyta; Magnoliopsida; Malpighiales; Euphorbiaceae. The record is from RNAcentral.